Molecule: ribosomal RNA, 301 nt
Filed under: uncultured bacterium
Lineage: Bacteria
Description: partial 16S ribosomal RNA
Rfam family: Bacterial small subunit ribosomal RNA
Source: RNAcentral
CAGCCGCCACGGUAAUACGUAGGUCCCGAGCGUUGUCCGGAUUUAUUGGGCGUAAAGCGAGCGCAGGCGGUUAGAUAAGUCUGAAGUUGAAGGCUGUGGCUUAACCAUAGUACGCUUUGGAAACUGUUUAACUUGAGUGCAGAAGGGGAGAGUGGAAUUCCAUGUGUAGCGGUGAAAUGCGUAGAUAUAUGGAGGAACACCGGUGGCGAAAGCGGCUCUCCGGUCUGUAACUGACGCUGAGGCUCGAAAGCGUGGGGAGCAAACAGGAUUAGAUACCCCCGUAGUCCCUGUCUCUUAUACA